RNA transcript from Phoenix dactylifera (date palm), 2346 nucleotides. It is a transcript of the gene named G-box-binding factor 1-like, with no coding region annotated. Lineage: Eukaryota; Viridiplantae; Streptophyta; Magnoliopsida; Arecales; Arecaceae. The record is from RefSeq and is a predicted model, not a curated record.
AGCGAGCCAGUGGAGAGGGCCUACCGCUCCCGCCUCCUUCCGACCCAAUAAAUAUCCACCGCAUGUAAGCGUCUCGCUCGCCGCGUCGGUCCUCCAAACCCUAGCUCGCUCGCGCGGUCCACGAGCAGCAGCAGAGCCAAAGCCCCACCUGGACGGAGACCCCUCGACACGUAUCCCGAUCUGGCGGGUUAAUUACCAGCCAGCGAGCCUCCAUCUCGCUCUCUCGGAUUCCGUCCACGACGAAUCCGUGCCCUAAACCUAAUCCACCUCCCGAGAUCUCAUCUCAUCUCUAACCUCCGCUGUUCCAUUCUUUCUCGGUUAAAAGAAAGCAGAAAUAGAAGGUUGGAGGAGGGAAAAAGAAAGAAAGAAAGAAAGAAAGACGGAAAUUGGAGGUAAGAUUACCGGAUGGAGUCUACAGAAGAGACCGCCACCGUCUCCGAGAAGCCUUCCAAGACUGAAAAGGCGGCUACUUCACCUGCUGCCGCGGUGGCUCCUCCGUCGCCGCCUCAACAAUCCGCUGCGCCAGCGCAACAGCUACCGCCGCCGACAACCCAUGCGUACACCGAAUGGGCGGCAUCUCUGCAGGCUUUCUAUGGAAGUGGAGCUGCGGCCGCCGCGGCGGCGGCGGCGGCGGCGGCUGCGGCGGGAGCUGCUGCUACUACGCCUCAGGCCUUCUUCCCACCCUCUUCCCCUUCUCCCCAUCCUUUCGUCUGGGGAACUCAGCAUCUGAUGUCGCCUUAUGGCACCCCGAUCACAUACUCCCCGAUGUAUCCUCAUGGAGCGCUGUAUGCUCACCCUUCCGUGGCGGUGGGCGUGGGUUACCCGACUACUGAGCCAUCAGAUGGGAAGGACAAGGGCUCGGCAGCUAGCAGGUGGAGUUCCGGGAAUGCUGGGGGUUCCCCAGGGAAGUCAGGGGAUGGCGGUAAAGUUACUUCAGGUUCUGCAGAUAGUGCAUCCCAGAGUGGUGACAGUGGAAGUGAGGGCUCGUCGGAUACAAGAGAUGAUAACACUGAAUCAAGAGACUUAUCAGCAUCAAAAAAGAGAAGUUAUGGCAGUAUGAUAUCAGAAGUAGAAACUUCACAGCCCAUAAUUGCUGCCCAAUAUUGUGGCACUACUGUUGAACCAUCUUACUCUAGUAGGGGAAGAUCUGCAACAAAGCUGCCAGUUUCAGCACCAGGGAGGACGACGCUAACUGGCCUUCCAACUAACUUGAAUAUAGGGAUGGAUCUAUGGAAUACUUCCCAUGCUGGAGCUGUACCUGUUAGAGCUAGACCUAUGGGAGCAGGUGUUGCAAUGGCAACAGGGAGACGGAAGGGGGUCACAGCUGAACAGCAGUGGAUACAGGAUGAUAGGGAAUUGAAGAGGGAGAGAAGAAAACAGUCAAAUAGGGAGUCAGCAAGGAGGUCGAGGCUACGAAAGCAGCCAGAGUUGCUGGGACCUAAUUGUCUUGCUCUCUUCUCUUUCACCAGCAAGAAUGUGAGGAGCUGGCAAGGAAGGUGGCUGAACUGAAAAAUGAAAAUAGUGCAUUAAGUGUAGAGCUUGAAAAUCUCCAGAAACUCUGCAGGGAUCUGAAGGCAGAAAAUGAAUCAUUAGAGGAAGGCUUGACUCGCUUCUAUGGGGCUGGUGUAGCUUCUGCUUUAGGCAUCAAAGGUGAGUCAUCAGCAAUGCCAUCAGUUGGUGGAGAUGACAGUGGCCAUGUUCAUCGAAGUCCAGUUGAUUCCAAUCAAAACACUGGAAAGUUCUGUACCGGCACUGGUAAUCCUGAAUCCACAUCGAGAUGAAUUUAAACCUUUUAUUCCUUAACCACCAUCUUAGGAGCCUUGACACUUUCUGCGCAUGGAGAGGGUAUGUAAAGCUGCCGACAUGCAUAGGUAAAAGAUACUCGAGCUUUUCAGUCUUUUCAGAGUUUACGGGUCGUCGAAGAUUACAGAGGCAUUUUAUGGAUUGAUAUAACAAUUUUUUAUAGCUCUAUAUUAGAGUUUUUUUUCCUCUUAACUAGUUCGCUAACUAUAAUUACUAAAAAAAGUUAGCUAAUUCUGAUGAAAGAGAGAAUUCCUCCCGUGUGUAAACUUCUUUGGAGGGAAACUUUUCUGCUUGUUUCGUUGUUCUCUUUUGGUGUGAAGGAAAUCUUAUAUGAAAACUUGUCUAUAGUUAAAAGUUUGAACCGGCAUUGGUCCCAGGUCUCUGGUACAAACACCUAAGAGACAGUGCCAACGGACAAGCCGGCACCUUGAUAACUGUUUGAAAAUGUGUAGUUUUUCUGAUAAUCUUGAGAUUCAUGUAUUUAGAGGAUUGUGAUCAAACUUAAAUUGCUUGUAUUUGAAUUCCUCACCUAUCUCAGCAAGA